AUCAACUUUCGAUGGUAGGAUAGAGGCCUACCAUGGUGGUAACGGGUAACGGGGUGUUAGGGCACGACACCGGAGAGGGAGCCUGAGAAACGGCUACCACAUCCAAGGAUGGCAGCAGGCGCGCAAAUUACCCAAUCCCGACACGGGGAGGUAGUGACAAUAAAUAACAAUACGGGGUUCUUUAGGAUCUCGUAAUUGGAAUGAGUACAAUUUAAAUCUCUUAACGAGGAACAAUUGGAGGGCAAGUCUGGUGCCAGCAGCCGCGGUAAUUCCAGCUCCAAUAGCGUAUAUUAAAGUUGUUGCAGUUAAAAAGCUCGUAGUUGAAUUUCGGGGUUAGUAGGUUGGUCAUGCCUCUGGUAUGUACUGGUCUCACUGAUUCCUCCUUCCUGAUGAACCUUAAUGCCAUUAAUUUGGUGUUUUGGGGAAUUUGGACUGUUACUUUGAAAAAAUUAGAGUGUUUAAAGCAAGCUAACGCUUGAAUACAUUAGCAUGGAAUAAUGAAAUAGGACGUUCGAUCCUAUUUUGUUGGUUUCUAGGAUUGACGUAAUGAUUAAUAGGGAUAGCUGGGGGCAUUAGUAUUCAAUUGUCAGAGGUGAAAUUCUUGGAUUUAUUGAAGACUAACUACUGCGAAAGCAUUUGCCAAGGAUGUUUUCAUUAAUCAAGAACGAAAGUUAGGGGAUCGAAGACGAUCAGAUACCGUCGUAGUCUUAACCAUAAACUAUGCCGACUAGGGAUCGGAUGAUGUUAAUUUUUUAAUGACUCAUUCGGCGCCUUACGGGAAACCAAAGUGUUUGGGUUC
RNAcentral lists this ribosomal RNA (799 nucleotides) under uncultured Glomeromycotina. RNAcentral's name for it is "SSU rRNA". It matches the Rfam family "Eukaryotic small subunit ribosomal RNA", at positions 314 to 1114 of the family's 1831-position model. The record is from RNAcentral. Lineage: Eukaryota; Fungi; Glomeromycota.